RNAcentral lists this transfer RNA (94 nucleotides) under Candidatus Zixiibacteriota bacterium. RNAcentral's name for it is "tRNA-Sec". It matches the Rfam family "Selenocysteine transfer RNA". The record is from RNAcentral. Lineage: Bacteria; Pseudomonadati; Candidatus Zixiibacteriota.
GGAAGAGGAUGCGGUCUGGUGGCCGUCCCGGGCUUCAAACCCGGUGGGGGUUUGUUUGUGCAGGCCCCGGUGGGUUCGAUCCCCACUCCUUCCG